UGGGGAAUAUUGCGCAAUGGGGGCAACCCUGACGCAGCAAUACCGCGUGAGUGAAGAAGGUUUUCGGAUCGUAAAGCUCUGUUAUUGGGGAAGAAAAAAGACGGUACCCAAGAAGAAAGUCCCGGCUAACUACGUGCCAGCAGCCGCGGUAAUACGUAGGGGACAAGCGUUGUCCGGAUUUACUGGGCGUAAAGGGCACGCAGGCGGUUUUUUAAGUCAGAUGUGAAAGGUACCGGCUCAACCGGUGACAUGCAUUUGAAACUGAAAGACUUGAGUAUUGGAGAGGCAAGUGGAAUUCCUAGUGUAGCGGUGAAAUGCGUAGAUAUUAGGAGGAACACCGGUGGCGAAGGCGGCUUGCUGGACAAAUACUGACGCUGAGGUGCGAAAGCGUGGGGAGCAAACAG
Molecule: ribosomal RNA, 404 nt
Filed under: uncultured bacterium
Lineage: Bacteria
Description: bacterial SSU rRNA
Rfam family: Bacterial small subunit ribosomal RNA
Source: RNAcentral